UCGAGAAUUUUUCUCAAUGGGGGAAACCCUGAAGGAGCGACGCCGCGUGGGGGAUGAAUGGCUUCGGCCCGUAAACCCCUGUCAUCUGCGAGCAAUUCCACGGAUUUAACAGAUGCGUGGUUGAUAGUAGCGGAAGAGGAAGGGACGGCUAACUCUGUGCCAGCAGCCGCGGUAAUACAGAGGUCCCAAGCGUUGUUCGGAUUUACUGGGCGUAAAGGGUGCGUAGGCGGCCUUGAAAGUCUGAUGUGAAAUCUUGGAGCUCAACUCCGAAACUGCAUUGGAUACUGCUUGGCUUGAGGGAUGGAAGGGAGACUGGAAUUCUCGGUGUAGCAGUGAAAUGCGUAGAUAUCGAGAGGAACACCAGUGGCGAAGGCGAGUCUCUGGACAUUUCCUGACGCUGAGGCACGAAAGCCAAGGGAGCAAACGGG
RNAcentral lists this ribosomal RNA (428 nucleotides) under uncultured bacterium. Its description in RNAcentral is "bacterial SSU rRNA". It matches the Rfam family "Bacterial small subunit ribosomal RNA", at positions 355 to 776 of the family's 1533-position model. The record is from RNAcentral.